Molecule: ribosomal RNA, 509 nt
Filed under: Pantoea piersonii
Lineage: Bacteria; Pseudomonadati; Pseudomonadota; Gammaproteobacteria; Enterobacterales; Erwiniaceae
Description: bacterial SSU rRNA
Rfam family: Bacterial small subunit ribosomal RNA
Source: RNAcentral
UGAGACAGGUGCUGCAUGGCUGUCGUCAGCUCGUGUUGUGAAAUGUUGGGUUAAGUCCCGCAACGAGCGCAACCCUUAUCCUUUGUUGCCAGCGAUUCGGUCGGGAACUCAAAGGAGACUGCCGGUGAUAAACCGGAGGAAGGUGGGGAUGACGUCAAGUCAUCAUGGCCCUUACGGCCAGGGCUACACACGUGCUACAAUGGCGCAUACAAAGAGAAGCGACCUCGCGAGAGCAAGCGGACCUCAUAAAGUGCGUCGUAGUCCGGAUCGGAGUCUGCAACUCGACUCCGUGAAGUCGGAAUCGCUAGUAAUCGUGGAUCAGAACGCCACGGUGAAUACGUUCCCGGGCCUUGUACACACCGCCCGUCACACCAUGGGAGUGGGUUGCAAAAGAAGUAGGUAGCUUAACCUUCGGGAGGGCGCUUACCACUUUGUGAUUCAUGACUGGGGUGAAGUCGUAACAAGGUAACCGUAGGGGAACCUGCGGUUGGAUCACCUCCUUACCUGAA